UAGGGGAGAGGGAGAGGAAGUAUGGGAGGACACCCAGACUUCUGGCUUGGGUUACCUGGUGGAUUAUCUUGCCAUUUACUGAGCUUAGAACAAGUUUUGAGGUGGGAUGACAUGCCUCCUUUGGGGGCAUGUAGUUGAAACUCCUUAGCAACAGCCUUGAGGUGGUCAUCAAGGCCAUGAAAGUGGGUGAGGUCCCAGAAAGUGAGUCCAUGGAGAAGACAGGGAAGCCAAAACUGAGACUGAAGCAAUGCCACUAUUUUAAAAACUUUUUAUUUUGAAAUACUUACAGAUUCUGUAAAGAUAGUACAGAGAGGUUCCAUGUACCCAGUUUCAAUGCUGCGAUUUUAAAAGGAGGAUUAGGCAAAGCUGACUGCUUAAAGGCAGCUCAGAGAGGCUGGAGAAAAUCCAACAGGGCUUGAUGUCAGGAAAGCAAUUUCACUUAGGAUUUAAUUGGGCUACAAGGGAGAGUGGUUUAAACAAGUGAGAAGAUGAUUUCUUCCUCACCUAAUAGUCUAAAUGUUGGUGUCCAGUUCUGAAAUAGAAGCCCUAUUUCUCUAAACCCUCAGGGACACAGGCUUCUGCCAGUCACUGCGCCAUCUCUGAGGUGUUGCUCUUGUCCUCAUGGUCCAAAAUGGUGACUAGAACACCAGCCAUCACAUCUGCUUUCCAGGUAGCAGAAUGGAAGAAGGGAUGGAGAAUAAAAGGGAGAAUAGGAAUAAGUAAGCAACCUCUUAAGGUGGAUUUCCAGGAACUGUCACAUAGCACAUAAUACUCACUACAGUUCAGUCACAAAACUUAGUUGCAAAAUAGUCUGAGAACUGUAGUCUUUAUUUUUGAACUCAAAAACCAGAGAUCCUGUUACCAAGAAGAAAAGGUGAAUCGAUACAGGGGAGUAACUAGCAGCCUAUGCACAGAAUCCAAUGGUGGUCUGAAAGGAAGGAUAUAGUCACCAUCAUGAAAUAUAGCCAAGAAGUCAAGAGAUGUAGCUACUGAAAUUCCCAUUGGAUUUUGGGACCAAAAAAGUGGCAACUUAAUGGGGAUAAUGAUCAUUGUCGAUCCCAAAGCCCUUCCUCCUAGUACUUUACUUUUCCAAAGUUGGCAUUUGUCAGGUGGAUGGGGCAGAAGGACAGAAGUGAUGGAGCUGAGAAUGGUAGAAAUCCAGAUCACCUACUACAGUAGAAAAAGCAGGAAGUGAAGAUGAGAGAGUGAAAGGGACCUAAUGCAUUGGGGAGAACCGCAAGGGACUGUCAGGAAGACAGGAGUGAGGACAGAGGAAGGUAACAGUCCUCGUGGCUUCCAGGGUGGGGCGCUUCUGGGGCCAAAGUAGGAUCAGGAGUGGGUGGCUGAAGCCAAGAGGAAAAGGAGGUUGUUUCUGGGAGGCGGUUGGUUUACAAAAUUUAGAGAUCAGAUCCAUAUGAGUGCUGAAGUCCCCUAAGAUGCUGGCUGGACGUCAGGUAAAGGUGGAUGCCCAGCUUCCUGGAGAAGACCCGGGCCAACCUCCCCUCCAACUCUUUAAAAUUAUCAUGGUCAUCACGACACUGCCCAAACAGUUGUUCUUGAAGAGUUGUUCAUGGAUUCCUAGGAAAAUGUUCAAACCUGUCACCUUUUCCUCUGAGGUUCUUCAUGAUCACCUGGCAUAGAUUAAGAUGCUGUCAGCAACAGAAACCCCAAGGAACGGACGAUGCCAGUGUGUGGCCCUGAGUACCCUGGAUGAAGCAUUUCUGUGCCUGCACUUCCCAACUCCUAGCGCUUGUGACACGUUAUAGAAAGCUCUGCCUGGCCACUGGAGCUUGUCCUGCCUGUGGUGGGAGCAGCCCUCGACUAGUGACUGAAGGAAUGGGUGAUAAAUGCCCAGGCUUCCUGGCUUUGUGGGUGAGUAACUCUGAAGGGCAUUCAUCUUGGUUCCCAGCAGAAUCAAGCUCUAGUUAUCUCCCCUUCCCUGUCUCCCUCCUCACACCCCUCCAGCACUUUCCAGAUUGCCUCAAAAUAAACAGCUUGCCCUCAAAUCGUCAUCUCAAGAUCUUCUCCUGAGAAAAGCCAAACAACCAGAGUACAGAUGAUAAGUAGCCACUGGGUACCCCACAAGUGGUAGUUCAGUGACUUCCUCCUCUAGGGCCCGGGUUCUCCCCCAUGUCUGCUCUGUGAUCCUCAAGCUGGUGGCAAGAUGGCUACCACCCAGACAUCUUACAGCCCCUCAACAGAUUUCCCUUCAAGUCUUAUUGGCCAGAAUAGGGUCAUGUGACUUAUCCUGAACCAAUCACUGGCAAAGGGGAUAAUGGCUUUACCAAGACUGGCUGAGACCAAUACAGUUAAUAGAGAAGACCUCCUACUUCUGUGAACUUCUUGAAAAGAUGGAGGAGGGGGAAGAGGAAGAGGAGGAAUGGGGAUGGGGUAGUAGAGGGAGAAGAAAAGAAGAUGAAGCAAGAAAAGAAGAAGAGCCCAAAGGUAUAAUGCUUAAAGAACAACGUUACAAGCUCAAAAUUUUUUUGGUUAUGUUGUCCAUAUUAAAACCAAAGCGUAUUUAAAAAAAUAAUAAAAUAAAAAAAAGACUGGCUUAGACUAAUCACCAAGAGACAGAAAGGAUAUUGGGGUCAACUAUAAGGACCAAAGCACAUCCCCUUCUUCCCUUCCAGUCUGAAUCUUCCACCAUAUAUGUGAAAUACUGAAACGAGGGAGCUGGUUGGCUCUGAAUGCCACUCAUUCACUGAUUGCGUUCACUCAACAAGCAUUUAUUGUUUUGCCCUUGCCUUCAAAGAGCCCACAGGCUAGCUGCUGGGGGUGGAGGCGAGGGAGACAAGAAAGGCGCCGAGGGCUGAGUGUGGUGGGGGCUGAGCAGCAGAAGCAUCAUUCAGGGAUAUCCUGAUGCAGCUGUUUUGCCAUCUAGAAUCUCACUCCGCCUGCCCCCAGAAGGGUUAGGUUUAGGGCCCUACUGAGCCACUCUCUUCCAGGAAGCCUUCCCUGAUUUUCAGGCCUCCAGUCUCUACUAUGUCCUGAGCACCCCUUGGACUUUGGAUGGAUCAGGCAGGCCCUGGGCUGACACUGCCUUGGAUGGCUCCGAAGUGCCCUUGUGUCUACUUGUCUUAUCUUCCCCCUUAAGAAUGAGGGCUCCUAGAGGGAGGGGUCGUGUCCCCAUGUCUGACCCAGAGCCUAGGCCAACUGGCCUGAUCCCAUCUCAGCCCCCGUACCUGGCUUGUGGCCUCCUCCCCCUCUCCCUAUCUCUCCCAUCAAUUUCUUAGUUCAUAAAAAUCAAUUUUUGUCCCGUUUUUGCCAUAUACAUAAAAGACUGUGGCAUCAAUUAGCCUUCGUUCUCUCUCUCUCUGUCUCUUUUUUUCUCUUCCUCGUCUUUUUUGGAAACCUCUUUGUAGGGAAAAUCUCAUAUUUCAGCAAUUUGCAUUAUCCACACACCCAGCUUUGAAGUUCUAAGUUAUGGUAAGAAAAGGACCCACUUAUCUGCCCAUAAAAAAUGUUCAAAGCUUAUAAAUUCCCUGAAACAGAUGUACAUUAUCAUUGGAUUUGCCUUUCUUUUUGCUAGAGCAUGCCUAAUAGAGUUUCGGCC
Bos taurus (domestic cattle) is the source of this 3556-nucleotide long non-coding RNA. NCBI's taxonomy places the organism in Eukaryota, Metazoa, Chordata, Mammalia, Artiodactyla, Bovidae. The record is from Ensembl.